CGCUGGCGGCGUGCCUAAUACAUGCAAGUCGAACGGCUUUUCUAUGGAAGCUUGCUUCCACUGAGAAGAUAGUGGCGAACGGGUGAGUAACACGUGGGUAACCUGCCCAUAAGAGGGGGAUAACAUCCGGAAACGGGUGCUAAUACCGCAUAGUUUUCUUGAUCGCAUGAUUGAGAAAGGAAAGACGGCCUUUGUGCUGUCGCUUAUGGAUGGACCCGCGGCGUAUUAGUUAGUUGGUGAGGUAACGGCUCACCAAGACGAUGAUACGUAGCCGACCUGAGAGGGUGAUCGGCCACAUUGGGACUGAGACACGGCCCAAACUCCUACGGGAGGCAGCAGUAGGGAAUCUUCCGCAAUGGACGAAAGUCUGACGGAGCAACGCCGCGUGAGUGAAGAAAAGGUUUUCGGAUCGUAAAACUCUGUUGUCAGAGAAGAACAAGUUGGAGAGUAACUGCUCCAGCCUUGACGGUAUCUGACCAGAAAGCCACGGCUAACUACGUGCCAGCCGCUGC
This 512-nucleotide ribosomal RNA is filed under the name uncultured bacterium. Its description in RNAcentral is "bacterial SSU rRNA". It matches the Rfam family "Bacterial small subunit ribosomal RNA", at positions 34 to 518 of the family's 1533-position model. The record is from RNAcentral.